This 25-nucleotide non-coding RNA is filed under the name Cricetulus griseus (Chinese hamster). The record is from RNAcentral. Lineage: Eukaryota; Metazoa; Chordata; Mammalia; Rodentia; Cricetidae.
CAGUCAGUUACAGAUUGAACUCCUG